RNAcentral lists this ribosomal RNA (84 nucleotides) under Enterococcus faecalis. RNAcentral's name for it is "partial 16S ribosomal RNA". It matches the Rfam family "Bacterial small subunit ribosomal RNA", at positions 1 to 84 of the family's 1533-position model. Lineage: Bacteria; Bacillati; Bacillota; Bacilli; Lactobacillales; Enterococcaceae. The record is from RNAcentral.
UAUUAUGAGAGUUUGAUCCUGGCUCAGGACGAACGCUGGCGGCGUGCCUAAUACAUGCAAGUCGAACGCUUCUUUCCUCCCGAG